Clupea harengus (Atlantic herring) is the source of this 469-nucleotide long non-coding RNA. RefSeq lists it as uncharacterized. NCBI's taxonomy places the organism in Eukaryota, Metazoa, Chordata, Actinopteri, Clupeiformes, Clupeidae. The record is from RefSeq and is a predicted model, not a curated record.
UUGAAGCAUAGACAGCGCACAAUAAUACCGUGUUACAUUCAUUGGUACUGUGCGCAGCAAAAUUGCGUUUCGCUUCGCUGUCACUGUCUAAUAACUAAUCGACAUCUCUUAGAAUUGAGACUUUUUAAAACGGAAAAUAGGCUACAAUAUGUAAGCCCAACUUAACGUCUUAACAGAUAAUGCGUUAUCUUCGCUAAAGUUCAAUAUCCAUAUUAUCCAUGACAACCCUUUUAAAAUAAACAUCCAGAGCAGUGCUCCUUUUUGCCAAAAGCAAAUAAAUGUGAUCUAUGGGAAGUGGAGGGCACCUGGCGUAGUCGUAUGUCUUUUUAAAGACAGCAACUUCAAACAGGACAUAACUAACUUUCAACGUACAGUAGUGCCAAGGUUGCAUGGCAUUGACCCCGUCCCUUCCGGAGAUGCUCCCACCCCCCACUCCUCUUUGCAAACACACCAGGCGCUAGUGAAGGGC